Molecule: ribosomal RNA, 67 nt
Filed under: uncultured Tricholomataceae
Lineage: Eukaryota; Fungi; Basidiomycota; Agaricomycetes; Agaricales; Tricholomataceae
Also listed under: 2 other names
Description: partial 5.8S ribosomal RNA
Rfam family: 5.8S ribosomal RNA
About the family: 5.8S ribosomal RNA (5.8S rRNA) is a component of the large subunit of the eukaryotic ribosome. It is transcribed by RNA polymerase I as part of the 45S precursor that also contains 18S and 28S rRNA.
Source: RNAcentral
CGAAAUGCGAUAAGUAGUGUGAAUUGCAGAAUUCAGUGAAUCAUCGAAUCUUUGAACGCACCUUGCG